ACACGAGUGGCGAACGGGUGAGUAACACGUGGGUGACCUGCCCUGCACUUCGGGAUAAGCCUGGGAAACUGGGUCUAAUACCGGAUAGGACCGCACCGUGAGGGUGUGGUGGAAAGUUUUUUCGGUGUGGGAUGGGCCCGCGGCCUAUCAGCUUGUUGGUGGGGUAAUGGCCUACCAAGGCGGCGACGGGUAGCCGGCCUGAGAGGGUGGACGGCCACAUUGGGACUGAGACACGGCCCAGACUCCUACGGGAGGCAGCAGUGGGGAAUAUUGCACAAUGGGCGGAAGCCUGAUGCAGCGACGCCGCGUGGGGGAUGACGGCCUUCGGGUUGUAAACUCCUUUCACCAUCGACGAAGGGUUUCUGACGGUAGAUGGAGAAGAAGCACCGGCUAACUACGUGCCAGCAGCCGCGGUAAUACGUAGGGUGCGAGCGUUGUCCGGAAUUACUG
RNAcentral lists this ribosomal RNA (450 nucleotides) under Corynebacterium sp. Its description in RNAcentral is "bacterial SSU rRNA". It matches the Rfam family "Bacterial small subunit ribosomal RNA", at positions 89 to 556 of the family's 1533-position model. Lineage: Bacteria; Bacillati; Actinomycetota; Actinomycetes; Mycobacteriales; Corynebacteriaceae. The record is from RNAcentral.